AACGAACGCUGGCGGCAUGCCUAACACAUGCAAGUCGAACGAGACCUUCGGGUCUAGUGGCGCACGGGUGCGUAACGCGUGGGAACCUGCCCUUAGGUUCGGAAUAACUCCCCGAAAGGGGUGCUAAUACCGGAUAAUGUCUUCGGACCAAAGAUUUAUCGCCUUUGGAUGGGCCCGCGUUGGAUUAGCUAGUUGGUAGGGUAAAAGCCUACCAAGGCGACGAUCCAUAGCUGGUCUGAGAGGAUGAUCAGCCACACUGGGACUGAGACACGGCCCAGACUCCUACGGGAGGCAGCAGUGGGGAAUAUUGGACAAUGGGCGAAAGCCUGAUACAGCAAUGCCGCGUGAGUGAUGAAGGCCUUAGGGUUGUAAAGCUCUUUUAACCGGGAUGAUAAUGACAGUACCGGGAGAAUAAGCUCCGGCUAACUCCGUG
Molecule: ribosomal RNA, 433 nt
Filed under: uncultured bacterium
Lineage: Bacteria
Description: partial 16S ribosomal RNA
Rfam family: Bacterial small subunit ribosomal RNA
Source: RNAcentral